Molecule: long non-coding RNA, 346 nt
Filed under: Mytilus galloprovincialis (Mediterranean mussel)
Lineage: Eukaryota; Metazoa; Mollusca; Bivalvia; Mytilida; Mytilidae
Source: RNAcentral
AUCAGUAUCAGAAUUUUUGUUACUUACAUGUUUGCCUAAGUAACUUUUUAAAACAGAAAUUACGUAUAUAUGAUAUAAUUUAUGACCGAAAGUUUUUGUUGGAAAAGAUAAAAAUUGUAGAUUUCGAAAACCCUGGGGCUAGAAUUCAGAAGAACAUUAUGGGCGAUUAGACUGUAAGGAAUGUGUGAAACGGCAAGAGAGGACAUGUGAGGGUUUGCAAUGCCAAGCAGAUACAAAUGGAACAGACAUAUACAUUUGAGCUGGCAAUCACUCAUUUGAUGCAAACAUAUGAAGAUGUUGGGUUUUGAAAUGCUUUUCCUUUCGCUCAAUUCAAAACAGUUGAAUG